GAUGAACGCUAGCGGCAGGCUUAAUACAUGCAAGUCGAGGGACAGCACAGGUAGCAAUACUGGGUGGUAACCGGCAAACGGGUGCGGAACACGUACACAACCUUCCUUUAAGUGGGGGAUAGCCCAGAGAAAUUGGGAUUAAUACACCGUAAUAUAGUUGAAUGGCAUAAUUGGAUUAGUAAAGCUACGGCGUUUAAUGAUGGGUGUGCGGCUGAUUAGAUAGUUGGCGGGGUAACGGCCCACCAAGUCUACGAUCAGUAGCUGAUGUGAGAGCAUGAUCAGCCACACGGGCACUGAGACACGGGCCCGACUCCUACGGGAGGCAGCAGUAAGGAAUAUUGGUCAAUGGACGCAAGUCUGAACCAGCCAUGCCGCGUGAAGGAUUAAGGUCCUCUGGAUUGUAAACUUCUUUUAUUUGGGACGAAAAAGGGCCUUUCUAGGUCAACUGACGGUACCAGAUGAAUAAGCACCGGCUAACUCCGUGCCAGCAGCCGCCGUAA
RNAcentral lists this ribosomal RNA (500 nucleotides) under uncultured bacterium. RNAcentral describes it as "partial 16S ribosomal RNA". It matches the Rfam family "Bacterial small subunit ribosomal RNA", at positions 28 to 523 of the family's 1533-position model. The record is from RNAcentral.